UCCCUAGUGACCGAUAGUGAACCAGUACCGUGAGGGAAAGGUGAAAAGCACCCCGGAAGGGGAGUGAAAUAGAUCCUGAAACCGUGUGCCUACAACAAGUCAAAGCUCGUUAAUGAGUGAUGGCGUGCCUUUUGUAGAAUGAACCGGCGAGUUACGAUUGCAUGCGAGGUUAAGUCGAAGAGACGGAGCCGCAGCGAAAGCGAGUCUGAAUAGGGCGAAUGAGUAUGUAGUCGUAGACCCGAAACCAUGUGAUCUACCCAUGUCCAGGUUGAAGGUGCGGUAAAACGCACUGGAGGACCGAACCCACGUACGUUGAAAAGUGCGGGGAUGAGGUGUGGGUAGCGGAGAAAUUCCAAACGAACUUGGAGAUAGCUGGUUCUCUCCGAAAUAGCUUUAGGGCUAGCCUCGGAAUUGAGAAUGAUGGAGGUAGAGCACUGUUUGGACUAGGGGCCCAUCUCGGGUUACCGAAUUCAGAUAAACUCCGAAUGCCAUUCAUUUAUAUCCGGGAGUCAGACUGCGAGUGAUAAGAUCCGUAGUCGAAAGGGAAACAGCCCAGACCACCAGCUAAGGUCCCAAAAUAUAUGUUAAGUGGAAAAGGAUGUGGGGUUGCACAGACAACUAGGAUGUUGGCUUAGAAGCAGCCACCAUUUAAAGAGUGCGUAAUAGCUCACUAGUCGAGUGACCCUGCGCCGAAAAUGUACCGGGGCUAAACAUAUUACCGAAGCUGUGGACUACACCAUUAGGUGUAGUGGUAGGAGAGCGUUCUAAGGGCGUUGAAGGUCGAUCGUGAGGACGGCUGGAGCGCUUAGAAGUGAGAAUGCCGGUAUGAGUAGCGAAAGACAGGUGAGAAUCCUGUCCACCGUAUGACUAAGGUUUCCUGGGGAAGGCUCGUCCGCCCAGGGUUAGUCGGGACCUAAGCCGAGGCCGAUAGGCGUAGGCGAUGGACAACAGGUUGAUAUUCCUGUACCAGUUGUUUUUGUUUGAGCAAUGGAGGGACGCAGUAGGCUAAGGAAUGCAUGCGAUUGGAAGUGCAUGUCCAAGCAAUGAGUCUUGAGUAGAGUUAAAUGCUUUACUCUUUAAGGACAAGUUGUGACGGGGAGCGAAAUAAUAGUAGCGAAGUUCCUGAUGUCACACUGCCAAGAAAAGCUUCUAGUGAGAAAACAACUGCCCGU
This 1172-nucleotide ribosomal RNA is filed under the name Enterococcus faecalis. Its description in RNAcentral is "partial 23S ribosomal RNA". It matches the Rfam family "Bacterial large subunit ribosomal RNA", at positions 474 to 1645 of the family's 2925-position model. The record is from RNAcentral. Lineage: Bacteria; Bacillati; Bacillota; Bacilli; Lactobacillales; Enterococcaceae.